RNAcentral lists this long non-coding RNA (310 nucleotides) under Mytilus galloprovincialis (Mediterranean mussel). The record is from RNAcentral. Lineage: Eukaryota; Metazoa; Mollusca; Bivalvia; Mytilida; Mytilidae.
AAUAGAAGAAAAGAAAAGAAAAGUAUAUACUUUAUUCCAAAUUUCACUGAGGUAAAGCUGAUGACCGUAACUGCAUUCACGGUCAUCCCAAGAUGUCAGAUGAAAAUUUAGGUCAGUAUCUGUAUUGUCUGUUAUAGUGUUUCUAUUUAGUGAAAUGUAAGGGCCUACAACCGGCAACAUGAGAUAAUAAAAGAGGGACGAAAGAUACCAGAGGGACAGUCAAUCUCAUAAUCGAAAGUAAACUGACAAUACCAUGGCUAAAAAUGAAAAAGACAAACGAACAAUAGAACACAUGACACAAUACAUAAAA